This is a Y RNA of Papio anubis (olive baboon), 103 nucleotides long. It matches the Rfam family "Y RNA". Rfam says of the family: Y RNAs are components of the Ro ribonucleoprotein particle (Ro RNP), in association with Ro60 and La proteins. The Y RNAs and Ro60 and La proteins are well conserved, but the function of the Ro RNP is not known. In humans the RNA component can be one of four small RNAs -- hY1, hY3, hY4 and hY5. The record is from Ensembl. NCBI's taxonomy places the organism in Eukaryota, Metazoa, Chordata, Mammalia, Primates, Cercopithecidae.
GGCUGGUCUGAAGGUAGUAAGUUAUCUCGAUCGUUCAGUCACAGGUCUAACUGCUUAUUCUACUCUUUCCUCUCUUCUCACUACUGCAUUUGACUAAUCUUAA